RNAcentral lists this ribosomal RNA (580 nucleotides) under uncultured archaeon. RNAcentral's name for it is "bacterial SSU rRNA". It matches the Rfam family "Archaeal small subunit ribosomal RNA", at positions 85 to 655 of the family's 1478-position model. The record is from RNAcentral.
ACGGCUCAGUAACACGUGCCCAACCUACCCUCGGGAGGGGGAUAACCCCGGGAAACUGGGGAUAAUCCCCCGUAGGCCUGGGAUUCUUGGAAGUGGGCCCAGGCCGAAAGGGGCCGUUAGGCCCGCCCGAGGAUGGGGGUGCGGCCCAUCAGGUAGUAGGGGGUGUAACGGACCCCCUAGCCGACGACGGGUACGGGCCCUGGGAGGGGGAGCCCGGAGAUGGACCCUGAGACACGGGUCCAGGCCCUACGGGGCGCAGCAGGCGCGAAACCUUCGCAAUGCGGGCAACCGCGACGAGGGGACCCCGAGUGCCGGGGCCUACUGGGUCCCGGCUUUUCCGGAGUGUAAACAGCUCCGGGAAUAAGGGCUGGGCAAGUCCGGUGGCAGCCGCCGCGGUAAGACCGGCGGCCCGAGUGGCGGCCGUGUUUAUUGGGCCUAAAGGGUCCGUAGCCGGCCCCGUAAGUCUCCCGGGAAAUCGGGCGGCUCAACCGUCCGCUUCCGGGAGAUACUGCGGGGCUAGGGACCGGGAGAGGCCGGGGGUACUCCCGGGGUAGGGGUAAAAUCCUAUAAUCCCGGGGGG